RNAcentral lists this long non-coding RNA (1420 nucleotides) under Citrus maxima (pomelo). RNAcentral's name for it is "long non-coding RNA (CMAX_LNC002695)". Lineage: Eukaryota; Viridiplantae; Streptophyta; Magnoliopsida; Sapindales; Rutaceae. The record is from RNAcentral.
UACAAUAGACACAAUUCACUUGACAUAUUAAAUUUUUUGUCCACAGCAAGUUCCAAGAAAAUAAUAAACCUAAUAAGAAUCUAAAUAAACGUGCUUCACUAUAAUUAGUAACCAAGAUAUUAACUUAGUUACGAGACUCAUAUAUCUCUAUCUUAGGAGCAUCUACAUAGCAUUUUCCCAUGGAUUAUUCUUCUUCCCAAUAUUAAUUUUGCCCCAAUAAGUAGUCUUUGUGAUGUUGCUUCUCUUCUUAUUGGAAAAAAAAUCCUUCAAGCAUGUCUUCUAAGAUCUGGUUCAGCUUCUCUUCACUUAUUCUUUCCCUAGCAAGCAGCAAUCUUAAGGCUUCUCUUCAUCUGUAAAAUUAAUGUUGAAUAUUAGAAUAAGAACAGUUAUGCUAUAUCCAUAAAUAAUGUCAAAUAUCAUCCCUUACCAUGCGGGCUCUCUUCAGCAGCAACAGCACCGCCAUUUAUAGUGUUGCUACUAACCUCAACAACUUCACUAUUGUAGCAACAAUAGCAACACCAGCUUCAGCAUCUUCAGCAAUCACGCCAUCUUCAUGCUCUUCAGCAACAUCGCAAUCUUCAAGAUUUUCAAGAGUCUAAGGCUCUAUCAUCAAAAUUCAAAACUACUUUCAACUUAAUUUGAAGGAUAAAGGAAAUUUAAAUAGAGUGGAAAACAGUGCAUCCAAAUGGGUGUGAUAGGAAUUUCAAAUGCACUCCACUCUCACUGUGGCUUCUCCUAAUCCAUUCAUUCAUUUCUUCCAUUUAAGGAGGCCAUCACCAUUCACCCCUCAAUGUUAUUGCAUGCAAUUACCAAAAUGCGUUCUGAGCACCCAAUGAGAAGAUGUGAGACAUGAAUAAGUAUGCAUGAAUUCACAAGAAGGCAUAUAAAAUCUUAAGUAAAGCACCAUAUUUCAAACUUCUCAUAUCAUUCCUAGGACAAAAUCGGGUCAAAAAAUACAACUUUGCAAUCAUGAGUAACACUAGCGUUUAAUUGUAAUUAACCUAAUUCAAUAAAUUGUCAUAACCUAAUUCAAUAAAUUGUCAUCGUUACUUCAGGUUCCACAGUAUUCAAACUCUUAAUACAGCAACCCAGCACGAAAUAGGAACUAUGCAGUUAACAAGAUAUAUUAACACAUAAGCUAUACCGAGCAUUUUAAGUUACUUCAUGUUAAAGUUAUUUAAUCAUACUUCAGAUACCCAUAUUAUCAAAACAUGCCCCCUUCAAUUAAGGGUCUGUAACCUAUGCCUAGGUAAUAUAUAUUUUUUAAGGAAUAUAACCAGAAUUUGCUCCUUUAACUUCCACAAGCCGUGCACUCUUCAUGGUUUGUUGGAGAGCAAACCAUCUGUGCCAUCUUGGUUUCAUCAUCAGCCACCAACUCAGGCUUUCCCUGAAUCACCAAGAGUUGGAAAAGUGAAACAUU